Molecule: non-coding RNA, 58 nt
Organism: Salmo salar (Atlantic salmon)
Lineage: Eukaryota; Metazoa; Chordata; Actinopteri; Salmoniformes; Salmonidae
Source: Rfam
UAGCUCAGUUGGUAGAGCGUGGUGUUUGCAACACCAGGGUUGUGGGUUCAAUUCCCAC